RNAcentral lists this ribosomal RNA (497 nucleotides) under uncultured bacterium. RNAcentral's name for it is "partial 16S ribosomal RNA". It matches the Rfam family "Bacterial small subunit ribosomal RNA", at positions 28 to 507 of the family's 1533-position model. The record is from RNAcentral.
GAUGAACGCUGGCGGCGUGCCUAAUACAUGCAAGUCGAGCGAACGGACGAGAAGCUUGCUUUUCUGAUGUUAGCGGCGGACGGGUGAGUAACACGUGGAUAACCUACCUAUAAGACUGGGAUAACUUCGGGAAACCGGAGCUAAUACCGGAUAAUAUUUUGAACCGCAUGGUUCAAAAGUGAAAGACGGUCUUGCUGUCACUUAUAGAUGGAUCCGCGCUGCAUUAGCUAGUUGGUAAGGUAACGGCUUACCAAGGCAACGAUGCAUAGCCGACCUGAUAGGGUUAUCGGCCACACUGGAACUGAUGCACGGUCCAGACUCCUACAGGAGGCAGCAGUAGGGAAUCUUCCGCAAUGGGCGAAAGCCUGACGGAGCAACGCCGCGUGAGUGAUGAAGGUCUUCGGAUCGUAAAACUCUGUUAUUAGGGAAGAACAUAUGUGUAAGUAACUGUGCACAUCUUGACGGUACCUAAUCAGAAAGCCACGGCUAACUACGUG